This 253-nucleotide ribosomal RNA is filed under the name uncultured bacterium. RNAcentral's name for it is "partial 16S ribosomal RNA". It matches the Rfam family "Bacterial small subunit ribosomal RNA", at positions 524 to 776 of the family's 1533-position model. The record is from RNAcentral.
UACAGAGGUCUCAACCGUUGUUCGGAUUCAUUGGGCGUAAAGGGUGCGUAGGCGGUCGCGUAAGUCAGGUGUGAAAUCCCGGGGCUCAACCCCGGAACUGCACUUGAUACUGCGUGGCUAGGGUACUGGAGAGGAGACUGGAAUUUACGGUGUAGCAGUGAAAUGCGUAGAUAUCGUAAGGAAGACCAGUGGCGAAGGCGAGUCUCUGGACAGUUCCUGACGCUGAGGCACGAAGGCCAGGGGAGCAAACGGG